Molecule: ribosomal RNA, 301 nt
Filed under: uncultured bacterium
Lineage: Bacteria
Description: partial 16S ribosomal RNA
Rfam family: Bacterial small subunit ribosomal RNA
Source: RNAcentral
CAGCAGCCGCGGUAAUACGUAGGUGGCAAGCGUUGUCCGGAAUUAUUGGGCGUAAAGGGCUCGCAGGCGGUUUCUUAAGUCUGAUGUGAAAGCCCCCGGCUCAACCGGGGAGGGUCAUUGGAAACUGGGAAACUUGAGUGCAGAAGAGGAGAGUGGAACUCCACGUGUAGCGGUGAAAUGCGUAGAGAUGUGGAGGAACACCAGUGGCGAAGGCGACUCUCUGGUCUGUAACUGACGCUGAGGAGCGAAAGCGUGGGGAGCGAACAGGAUUAGAUACCCCGGUAGUCCCUGUCUCUUAUAC